ACCUCCCGCUAGGCGGGAGGUUCAAAAAAGCUUAAAGCUAUGAGUAUGUUAUAAAGCUCCUUUUGAUUUGCUAACAUUGGAUUGCGGUCUGGCAACUGCAUCUAUGAAGCAAAUCAAAA
This 119-nucleotide small RNA is filed under the name uncultured Desulfovibrio sp. RNAcentral describes it as "STnc490 Hfq binding RNA". It matches the Rfam family "STnc490 Hfq binding RNA". The record is from RNAcentral. Lineage: Bacteria; Pseudomonadati; Thermodesulfobacteriota; Desulfovibrionia; Desulfovibrionales; Desulfovibrionaceae.